This 322-nucleotide ribosomal RNA is filed under the name uncultured eukaryote. RNAcentral's name for it is "partial 18S ribosomal RNA". It matches the Rfam family "Eukaryotic small subunit ribosomal RNA", at positions 1470 to 1796 of the family's 1831-position model. The record is from RNAcentral.
CCCUUAGAUGUUCUGGGCCGCACGCGUGCUACACUGAGUAAUUCAAUGGGUAAGGGAACGCUAGAGCAUUACCUAAUCUUGAAAUUUGCUCGUGAUGGGGAUCGACGGUUGCAACUUUCCGUCGUGAACGAGGAAUACCUUGUAGGCGCAUGUCAUCAUCAUGCGCCGAAUACGUCCCUGCCCUUUGUACACACCGCCCGUCGCUCCUACCGAUUGAGUGAUCCGGUGAGGCUCUGGGACCUGGACGGAAAGAGCGUUUCGCUUGUUCUGUUUGGGAAACUUGGUCGAACCUUAUCAUUUAGAGGAAGGAGAAGUCGUAACA